UACCAGCUCUCCGAGUUGUAGGGACGAUUAUUGGGCUUAAAGCGUCCGUAGCCGGCUUAGCAAGUCUCCUGUUAAAUUCAGCGACCCAAUCGUUGAGCCGCGGGAGAUACUACUAGGCUAGGAGGCGGGAGAGGUCGACGGUACUUUCGGGGUAGGGGUGAAAUCCUAUAAUCCCGGGAGGACCACCAGUGGCGAAGGCUGUCGACUAGAACGCGCUCGACGAUGAGGGACGAAAGCUGGGGGAGCGAACCGGAUUAGAUACCCGGGUAGUCCCAGCUGUAAACGAUGCGGGCUAGGUGUUGGGGUGGCUACGGGCCACUUCAGUGCCGCAGGAAAGCCAUUAAGCCCGCCGCCUGGGGAGUACGGCCGCAAGGCUGAAACUUAAAGGAAUUGGCGGGGGAGCACCACAAGGCGUGAAGCUUGCGGUUC
This 429-nucleotide ribosomal RNA is filed under the name uncultured archaeon. Its description in RNAcentral is "bacterial SSU rRNA". It matches the Rfam family "Archaeal small subunit ribosomal RNA", at positions 474 to 903 of the family's 1478-position model. The record is from RNAcentral.